AGCUUUUCGAAUCCGUGCUGAGAUUUCAUCAGACACCAAUCCAUUCGGGCUGGUUAGACUUCCAAGAUACGUAAAGUU
This 78-nucleotide microRNA precursor is filed under the name Schistosoma bovis. RNAcentral's name for it is "mir-3492 microRNA precursor family". It matches the Rfam family "mir-3492 microRNA precursor family". Lineage: Eukaryota; Metazoa; Platyhelminthes; Trematoda; Strigeidida; Schistosomatidae. The record is from Rfam by way of RNAcentral. RNAcentral also lists the same sequence under 1 other name.